AACGAACGCUGGCGGCAUGGAUUAGGCAUGCAAGUUGAACGAACUCCUUCGGGAGUGAGUAGCGAAAGGGUGAGGAACGCGUGAGUAAUCUGCCCAUAAGUUGGGAACAACAGUUGGAAACGACUGGCUAAUACCGAAUGUAGGCUAUUGACCCCGCAUGGGUUUUUGGCUAAAGAUUUAUCGCUUAUGGAAUGAGCUCGCGUCCCAUUAGCUGGUUGGUGAGGUAACGGCCCACCAAGGCUACGAUGGGUAGCUGGUCUGAGAGGAUGGUCAGCCACCACUGGGACUGAGACACUGCCCCAGACUCCUACGGGAGCUGCAGUCGAGAAUCUUGGGCAAUGCGCGAAAGCGU
Molecule: ribosomal RNA, 352 nt
Filed under: uncultured bacterium
Lineage: Bacteria
Description: bacterial SSU rRNA
Rfam family: Bacterial small subunit ribosomal RNA
Source: RNAcentral